Molecule: ribosomal RNA, 478 nt
Filed under: uncultured bacterium
Lineage: Bacteria
Description: partial 16S ribosomal RNA
Rfam family: Bacterial small subunit ribosomal RNA
Source: RNAcentral
GACGAACGCUGGCGGCGUGCUUAACACAUGCAAGUCGAACGGUAAGGCCCUUCGGGGUACACGAGUGGCGAACGGGUGAGUAACACGUGGGUGAUCUGCCCUGCACUUCGGGAUAAGCCUGGGAAACUGGGUCUAAUACCGGAUAGGACCACUGCCUGCAUGGGUGGUGGUGGAAAGCUUUUGCGGUGUGGGAUGGGCCCGCGGCCUAUCAGCUUGUUGGUGGGGUGAUGGCCUACCAAGGCGACGACGGGUAGCCGGCCUGAGAGGGUGACCGGCCACACUGGGACUGAGAUACGGCCCAGACUCCUACGGGAGGCAGCAGUGGGGAAUAUUGCACAAUGGGCGCAAGCCUGAUGCAGCGACGCCGCGUGAGGGGUGACGGCCUUCGGGUUGUAAACCUCUUUCAGCACCGACGAAGCGCAAGUGACGGUAGGUGCAGAGGAAGGACCGGCCAACUACGUGCCAGCCGCCGCUGUAA